This 553-nucleotide ribosomal RNA is filed under the name uncultured archaeon. RNAcentral's name for it is "bacterial SSU rRNA". It matches the Rfam family "Archaeal small subunit ribosomal RNA", at positions 1 to 549 of the family's 1478-position model. The record is from RNAcentral.
CUCGAGGCCAGAUCUUUCCGGUUGAUCCUGCCGGACCCUACUGCUAUCGGAUUGGGACUAAGCCAUGCGAGUCAACCCGCAAGGGUGGCGCACGGCUCAGUAACACGUAGUCAACCUACCCUGAGGACGAGGAUAACCCCGGGAAACUGGGGAUAAACCUCGAUAGGUCAUAGUUUCUGGAAUGGGCUAUGGCUCAAAUCUAUAUGGCCUCAGGAUGGGACUGCAUCCGAUCAGGUUGUUGGUGGGGUAAUGGCCCACCAAGCCUAUAACCGGUACGGGCUCUGAGAGGAGGAGCCCGGAGAUGGGCACUGAGACAAGGGCCCAGGUCCUAUGGGGCGCAGCAGGCGCGAAACCUCCGCAAUGGGCGAAAGCCCGACGGGGUCAGUCCGAGUGGCUCCCGCUAAGGGAGUCUUUUGCCAGCUGUAAACAGGCUGGUGAAUAAGGGGUGGGCAAACCUGGUGUCAGCCGCCGCGGUAAUACCAGCACCCCGAGUGGUCGGGAUGAUUAUUGGGCCUAAAGCAUCCGUAGCCGGUGUAACAAGUCCUCCGUUAAA